GGGGAGCCUUCAGGAGCGGCCGAGGAGUUGCUGCAGACCCUGCCGCGAGGGCAUCGGCCUCCGGGCGCGGCCAGAUGAGGCGGACGUUCUUAGGAGAACGCUGAGCAAGGGGCCACAGUCG
Vidua macroura (Pin-tailed whydah) is the source of this 121-nucleotide long non-coding RNA. RefSeq lists it as uncharacterized. The record is from RefSeq and is a predicted model, not a curated record. NCBI's taxonomy places the organism in Eukaryota, Metazoa, Chordata, Aves, Passeriformes, Viduidae. The transcript has 3 exons.